This 473-nucleotide ribosomal RNA is filed under the name uncultured bacterium. Its description in RNAcentral is "bacterial SSU rRNA". It matches the Rfam family "Bacterial small subunit ribosomal RNA", at positions 20 to 488 of the family's 1533-position model. The record is from RNAcentral.
UGGCUCAGGAUGAACGCUAGCGGCAGGCUUAAUACAUGCAAGUCGAACGGGAUAGAUUGUAGCAAUACGAUCUUGAGAGUGGCGCACGGGUGCGUAACACGUAUGCAACCUACCUUUAUCAGGAGAAUAGCUUUCGGAAACGAAAAUUAAUACUCCAUAAUAUGUAGAAUAGGCAUCUAUACUACAUUAAAGUUCCAACGGAUAAAGAUGGGCAUGCGCAACAUUAGCUAGUUGGUGUGGUAAAAGCGCACCAAGGCUACGAUGUUUAGGGGGUCUGAGAGGAUUUUCCCCCACACUGGUACUGAGACACGGACCAGACUCCUACGGGAGGCAGCAGUAGGGAAUAUUGGUCAAUGGACGAAAGUCUGAACCAGCCAUGCCGCGUGCAGGAUGACGGCCCUCUGGGUUGUAAACUGCUUUUGUCAGGGAAGAAUAAGCUUAACGUGUUAAGUGAUGACGGUACCUGAAGAAUA